This 146-nucleotide unclassified non-coding RNA is filed under the name soil metagenome. Its description in RNAcentral is "partial internal transcribed spacer 1". The record is from RNAcentral.
CCGAGUUUACAACUCCCAAACCCUGUGGACAUACCAAUUGUUGCCUCGGCGGAUCAGCCCGCUCCCGGUAAAACGGGACGGCCGCCAGAGGACCCCUAAACUCUGUUUCUAUAUGUAACUUCUGAGUAAAACCAUAUAAUAAAUCA